This 41-nucleotide non-coding RNA is filed under the name unclassified sequences. The record is from Rfam.
UUAGUAACAGAGAUCAGAGAGGGAGAACAAGUCCCUCAGAC